GCCUCAUUUUCUGUUGCCUUGCGAAUUGCUUAUUUUGAUUUUAUUUUCGACGACCUCAGCACGAUCCACGGACUUCUGAUUCCUCACGACAUCGAAUCGCGUAUUUGGACAAAGAUUGUAUCUACUUUCGACAACUUGGCACUGCAUAUUGGACAACGUUUUCUUCCCUACACGACGACCCCUGCGCUGACCAUUGGACUUAUAAACGAGUAAAUUAAGAUCACAGACACCAUGGAACUGGAACCUGGAAACGCUCGAAGGGACAUAGAAUAUUAUAGGGAUGGCCUCCUUUGCUUUGUACCGUCGUGUAAGAAACACAGACGUGAUUUUCCGACCUCUGCUUAUUUAAGCAUACCAAAGUCAUUACAAGCGAUUUGGUGCCAAGCAUUGGGGAUAUAUUGCCCAAAAAGAAACUUAUAUGUCUGUCAGGACCAUAUCAAUAUCGUAGAAGAUUGCUAUAGAAGCAAAUCUGGCAAGUUACACCUGAAAAAGACUGCAAAUUUGAUAUUAACCAAAACUUAUGAUGAGAAUGAAAUGCUGAUUGACGAAAGCAACCUUACUCAAGAUCUGUCUACAGCAACAAUGGCAAUGUUUCAUAAUGGAAACACGCCUAACAAUCU
Molecule: long non-coding RNA, 620 nt
Organism: Cydia fagiglandana
Lineage: Eukaryota; Metazoa; Arthropoda; Insecta; Lepidoptera; Tortricidae
Exons: 3
Source: RefSeq, a predicted model, not a curated record